CUAAGAUCUCUGGAGGAGGCAAAGUUGUGGUCUAGAAUAUGAAACUGGUGGGUCUUCUCCUAUGCCUGGUGACAGGGCCCUAUGGUGUCCUGUCCCAGGUGCAGCUGCAGGAGUCUGGACCUGGCCUGGUGAAGCCCUCACAGCCCCUGUCCCUCACCUGCACCGUCUCUGGAUACUCCAUCACAAGUGGUUAUACCUGGCACUGGAUCCGUCAGCCCCCAGGAAAGAGCCUGGAGUGGAUGGGGUACAUAACCUACAGUGGUAGCACUAGCUACAACCCAUCCCUCAAGAGCCGCAUCUCCAUCUCCAGAGACACAGACAAGAACCAGUUCUCUCUGCAGCUGAACUCGGUCACCACGGACGACACAGCCACAUAUUACUGUGCAAGAGACACAGUGAUUUCAUGCCAGUGUGAACCUGGACACAAACCUCCCUGCAGUGGCCCUUGGGACCAGCAGGGGGCGCACAGUACACACUAG
This is a non-coding RNA of Octodon degus (degu), 479 nucleotides long. The record is from the annotation of a RefSeq genome assembly. Lineage: Eukaryota; Metazoa; Chordata; Mammalia; Rodentia; Octodontidae.